This 728-nucleotide ribosomal RNA is filed under the name Staphylococcus aureus. Its description in RNAcentral is "partial 23S ribosomal RNA". It matches the Rfam family "Bacterial large subunit ribosomal RNA", at positions 1513 to 2238 of the family's 2925-position model. The record is from RNAcentral. Lineage: Bacteria; Bacillati; Bacillota; Bacilli; Caryophanales; Staphylococcaceae.
UAAGCAGUAAGGCUGAGUAUUAGGCAAAUCCGGUACUCGUUAAGGCUGAGCUGUGAUGGGGAGAAGACAUUGUGUCUUCGAGUCGUUGAUUUCACACUGCCGAGAAAAGCCUCUAGAUAGAAAAUAGGUGCCCGUACCGCAAACCGACACAGGUAGUCAAGAUGAGAAUUCUAAGGUGAGCGAGCGAACUCUCGUUAAGGAACUCGGCAAAAUGACCCCGUAACUUCGGGAGAAGGGGUGCUCUUUAGGGUUAACGCCCAGAAGAGCCGCAGUGAAUAGGCCCAAGCGACUGUUUAUCAAAAACACAGGUCUCUGCUAAACCGUAAGGUGAUGUAUAGGGGCUGACGCCUGCCCGGUGCUGGAAGGUUAAGAGGAGUGGUUAGCUUCUGCGAAGCUACGAAUCGAAGCCCCAGUAAACGGCGGCCGUAACUAUAACGGUCCUAAGGUAGCGAAAUUCCUUGUCGGGUAAGUUCCGACCCGCACGAAAGGCGUAACGAUUUGGGCACUGUCUCAACGAGAGACUCGGUGAAAUCAUAGUACCUGUGAAGAUGCAGGUUACCCGCGACAGGACGGAAAGACCCCGUGGAGCUUUACUGUAGCCUGAUAUUGAAAUUCGGCACAGCUUGUACAGGAUAGGUAGGAGCCUUUGAAACGUGAGCGCUAGCUUACGUGGAGGCGCUGGUGGGAUACUACCCUAGCUGUGUUGGCUUUCUAACCCGCACCACUUA